Molecule: ribosomal RNA, 460 nt
Filed under: uncultured bacterium
Lineage: Bacteria
Description: partial 16S ribosomal RNA
Rfam family: Bacterial small subunit ribosomal RNA
Source: RNAcentral
CCUACGGGAGGCAGCAGUGAGGAAUAUUGGUCAAUGGACGAGAGUCUGAACCAGCCAAGUAGCGUGAAGGAUGACUGCCCUAUGGGUUGUAAACUUCUUUUAUAAAGGAAUAAAACGAGGCACGUGUGCCUUUUUGCAUGUACUUUAUGAAUAAGGAUCGGCUAACUCCGUGCCAGCAGCCGCGGUAAUACGGAGGAUCCGAGCGUUAUCCGGAUGUAUUGGGUUUAACGGGAGCGUAGAUGGGUUGUUAAGUCAGUUGUGAAAGUUUGCGGCUCAACCGUAAAAUUGCAAGUGAUACUGGCAGUCUUGAGUACAGUUGAGGGAGGCGGAAUUCGUGGUGUAGCGGUGAAAUGCUGAGAUAUCACGAAGAACCCCGAUUGCGAAGGCAGCUUACUAAACUGUGACUGACAUUGAUGCUCGAAAGUGUGGGUAUCAAACAGGAUUAGAUACCCGAGUAGUC